This 492-nucleotide ribosomal RNA is filed under the name uncultured bacterium. RNAcentral's name for it is "partial 16S ribosomal RNA". It matches the Rfam family "Bacterial small subunit ribosomal RNA", at positions 30 to 507 of the family's 1533-position model. The record is from RNAcentral.
AUUGAACGCUGGCGGCAUGCUUUACACAUGCAAGUCGAACGGUAACAGGCCUUCGGGUGCUGACGAGUGGCGAACGGGUGAGUAAUGCAUCGGAACGUACCCAGAGGUGGGGGAUAACGCAGCGAAAGCUGUGCUAAUACCGCAUGUGAUCUGAGGAUGAAAGCGGGGGACCGAGCAGCAAUGUUUGGCCUCGCGCCUUUGGAGCGGCCGAUGUCGGAUUAGCUAGUUGGUGGGGUAAAGGCCUACCAAGGCGACGAUCCGUAGCUGGUCUGAGAGGACGACCAGCCACACUGUGACUGAGACACGGCCCAGACUCCUACGGGAGGCAGCAGUGGGGAAUUUUGGACAAUGGGCGCAAGCCUGAUCCAGCAAUGCCGCGUGCGGGAAGAAGGCCUUCGGGUUGUAAACCGCUUUUGGCAGGAACGAAACGGUGUCCGCUAAUACCGGGCGCUAAUGACGGUACCUGCAGAAUAAGCACCGGCUAACUACGUG